Long non-coding RNA from Quercus lobata, 1155 nucleotides. RefSeq lists it as uncharacterized. The record is from RefSeq and is a predicted model, not a curated record. The transcript has 5 exons. Lineage: Eukaryota; Viridiplantae; Streptophyta; Magnoliopsida; Fagales; Fagaceae.
CUGCAUUCAAAGUCGUAAUAUUCAGUCAGUCGUACACUCGAACUACAAAUUCAACGUAAACUCUACCAAAAGAAUUGUCUUCUUUAACUCUGUCCUGUUGUGCUACUCUUAAACAAUCCCACCCAUUGACAAACUCCAUCUGCCUAUACUAAUUGUUGUAGAACUUCAAAUUCUCAACUCUAUUUUCUUCCCUACCUGGAAACCAACCUCCUCUCAUCUCUGUUAACUACCCUCGUUAUAAUUCUAAUCAUCACUACACAUAAAGUAUCUCAAAAUCAAUUUGGUAAAGUGAUAUACUUGGUUUGUUUAUUGAUUAGGUGCAUGAACAAAGUCAAAAGUCACACUUGCUGAUAUUGGAGUAAUGCUGUGUUCUUAGAUUAUUUCAAAUAGUAAUCAGGUGGAAAUAGGUUGGGACUGCUCUAAUCUUUGUGAUUUGAAUUGAUUUUUGGAGGAUCAUACAGUCCCGGAUUUUGAAAGAUAUAAGACAAGGUCAGAAUUCUAAACCAGACAAGAGUGGUGUUUUCUUCAAAAAAGAAAAAGAAAAAGAAAAAGAAAACAGAUUUUGUUUAAUACAAGAAAUAUUCAAUUUGCAUGCAAGAUGCUACGAAUGUCACAAGUUUUAUCUUCUACCAGUGCCUUUUUGAGUUUAUCUUCAGAUUUAGGGCAACUAGCCAACUGCUACUUGGGAUGUUCUACCAGUAUCUUCUGGUGCAUCAGUAUUUCGUUCAUAUCUAAAUAUUGAAAGGAUUCAAAGUGCCGUAAGUAGAAAAUAUUGUUAUAUUAAGGAAAAAAUUUGACAAGGAAGAACUUCACACCAAGGCUUUCUUGCAACAAUCUUCUCUAGAAGAAGUUAUUCAGGACUCGGCAAAAGAUGCCCUUUUGGGUUCAAAUAGAAGGUGACAUUUCCAUAUUGCUGUCAGAAUUUGGAAUUGGUCAACAUUGAUUUACUAGAGCAUUGGAGAAAAGCUUCAUUUUUCUUCUAUUCCCCACAGAGACAUAUUCCAUUGAUCAGACUACUUAAUUUUGUAUAAUUAAAAUCUUAAGUGAUUCUAAUGAGUAUCUAGACAGAUUAUGUGGUGAAAUUUGAAAGUAAAAGGGUUCCUAUUAAGUAUACUAAGGUGACUGAGGAUAUGUUUAAUGAAAUUUUAAUUUCUA